This is a non-coding RNA of Lonchura striata (white-rumped munia), 851 nucleotides long. The record is from RefSeq and is a predicted model, not a curated record. NCBI's taxonomy places the organism in Eukaryota, Metazoa, Chordata, Aves, Passeriformes, Estrildidae.
UGCCCAGCUGUGCCCUGCUUUGCUACUGCUCCUCCUCCUGCUUACAAGCACUUGUAAGCCUGGAUGCCUCUUUGGAAGAUGCAGCUGAAAAUUGUUGGCUGUCCUAAUUGAGGGGGUCUCCUCCAGCACUGACUUCAGAAACUACAUUGGCUUCUCUGACUGUGACAGAGCUCUGUGUGUGUAUACAGGUGACAACCCACAAACUGUCAUUACAACUUUAUUCAAUCAAUUCUUGUGUCUCUCCAAUGAAUAAAACUAUGCCUUUCAGGAAUGAGGAAACUGAGGAAGAGGUGCUAAACGUGUUUGCACGGCUCACAGAGAUUUGGUCACAGCAGAAAUUGUUGGAUUCAGGAGGCUACUCCACCCCCAUCUGCACCCACAUCACAAGCCCACACCUUCCCCUUCUGGUGUUACUGGAAUACAAAUGCUUCUUUCUCUUAUGUGCUUGCCAAGACCUGGGGCAGAACCAUCAUAUUCCCUGUAUGCCAGUGGAUGUGGUCAUUCCACAAGGAGCUUAUUCACAGAAUCACAUGUUUGGAAGAGACCGUCAAGAUCAUCAUUGAGUCCAACCCGUGACCUAACACCUCAACUAGACCAUGGCACCAAGUGCAACAUCCAGUCUUCCUAAACACAUCCAGGGAUGGUGAUGACACCACCUCCCUGGGGAGGCCAUUCCAAUACUUUAUCAGUCUUUCUGUAAAAAACUUCUUCCUAAUAUCCAAUUUGUAUUUCCCUUGGCACAGUUUAAAACUGUGCCCUCUGGUUCUAUCAGUUGCUGCCUGGAUAAAGAGACCAACAAUCACCUUUCAGGGAGUUAUAGAGAGUGAUAAGGUCACCUCUGAGUCUCCUUU